RNAcentral lists this ribosomal RNA (218 nucleotides) under uncultured bacterium. Its description in RNAcentral is "partial 16S ribosomal RNA". It matches the Rfam family "Bacterial small subunit ribosomal RNA", at positions 57 to 305 of the family's 1533-position model. The record is from RNAcentral.
GCAAGUCGAACGAACCUUCGGGUGAGUGGCGCACGGGUGCGUAACGCGUGGGAAUAUACCCUUGAGUAAGGAAUAACUGCUGGAAACGGUAGCUAAUACCUUAUAAUGACUUCGGUCCAAAGAUUUAUCGCUCAAGGAUUAGCCCGCGUUAGAUUAGCUUGUUGGUGAGGUAAUGGCUCACCAAGGCUACGAUCUAUAGGGGGUCUGAGAGGAUGAUC